UUCAUUUCAAAUUCAUCUUCAAUUCGAUUCCUGGCCAGGACAUGUAUUCAAAUGGCAUUUUACAUUUUUCUCUUUUCCCUCCAUCCUUUUCCAUAUGCUUGUUUCACUUUUUUUUAUUUUUUUUCUCACUUUCAAAAUUCAUAUUAAAUUGAUAAAUGAUCCAAAGAAUAUGGGAAUUUUUGCAUUAUCUUCCUUAUUAUGUCUAGUUUUUUUUUGUUAAUUUUCCCUAAAUUGUGCAUGGCUGAAAAAUAUUUUACC
Molecule: long non-coding RNA, 258 nt
Filed under: Lathyrus oleraceus (garden pea)
Lineage: Eukaryota; Viridiplantae; Streptophyta; Magnoliopsida; Fabales; Fabaceae
Description: Pisum sativum (pea) long non-coding RNA (PSAT_LNC012242)
Source: RNAcentral